GUCUUAACUGACUACGUUUUUUGAGUCAAGACACCCUGUUGGAUGCGUAGCUAGUCCCUGGCUCUGUCGUUAGUGGUUAAACAUCUUUAUCGGGUUAAGGAAGUGCUGCUAACCUAACAAGCUCUUAAAACCUUAUUGAAGCUAACUUUAC
Planktothrix serta PCC 8927 is the source of this 151-nucleotide non-coding RNA. Lineage: Bacteria; Bacillati; Cyanobacteriota; Cyanophyceae; Oscillatoriales; Microcoleaceae. The record is from Rfam.